This 491-nucleotide ribosomal RNA is filed under the name uncultured bacterium. Its description in RNAcentral is "partial 16S ribosomal RNA". It matches the Rfam family "Bacterial small subunit ribosomal RNA", at positions 29 to 507 of the family's 1533-position model. The record is from RNAcentral.
GUGAGCGCUGGCGGUAGGCCUAACACAUGCCAGUCGAACGGCAGCACAGUAAGAGCUUGCUCUUACGGGUGGCGAGUGGCGGACGGGUGAGGAAUACAUCGGAAUCUACUUUUUCGUGGGGGAUAACGUAGGGAAACUUACGCUAAUACCGCAUACGACCUACGGGUGAAAGCAGGGGAUCUUCGGACCUUGCGCGAUUGAAUGAGCCGAUGUCGGAUUAGCUAGUUGGCGGGGUAAAGGCCCACCAAGGCGACGAUCCGUAGCUGGUCUGAGAGGAUGAUCAGCCACACUGGAACUGAGACACGGUCCAGACUCCUACGGGAGGCAGCAGUGGGGAAUAUUGGACAAUGGGCGCAAGCCUGAUCCAGCCAUACCGCGUGGGUGAAGAAGGCCUUCGGGUUGUAAAGCCCUUUUGUUGGGAAAGAAAAGCAGCAGGUUAAUACCCCGCUGUUCUGACGGUACCCAAAGAAUAAGCACCGGCUAACUUCGUG